Molecule: ribosomal RNA, 174 nt
Filed under: Microsphaeropsis proteae
Lineage: Eukaryota; Fungi; Ascomycota; Dothideomycetes; Pleosporales; Didymellaceae
Description: partial 18S ribosomal RNA
Rfam family: Eukaryotic small subunit ribosomal RNA
Source: RNAcentral
UUGUACACACCGCCCGUCGCUACUACCGAUUGAAUGGCUCAGUGAGGCCUUCGGACUGGCUCGAAGAGGUUGGCAACGACCACUUCGAGCCGGAAAGUUCGUCAAACUCGGUCAUUUAGAGGAAGUAAAAGUCGUAACAAGGUUUCCGUAGGUGAACCUGCGGAAGGAUCAUUA